UACGUAGGGUGCAAGCGUUGUUCGGAAUCAUUGGGCGUAAAGCGCGUGUAGGCGGUUAGGUAAGUCGGGUGUGAAAUCCCUGGGCUCAACCGAGGAAGUGCAUCCGAAACUGCUUAGCUAGAGGACGGUAGAGGAAGGUGGAAUUCCUAGUGUAGAGGUGAAAUUCGUAGAUAUUAUGAGGAAUACCGGUGGCGAAGGCGGCCUUCUGGGCCGAUCCUGACGCUGAGACGCGAAAGCGUGGGUAGCAAACAGGAUUAGAUACCCUGGUAGUCCACGCUGUAAACGAUGAGUACUAGGUGUUGCAGGAAUUGACCCCUGCAGUGCCGCAGCUAACGCAUUAAGUACUCCGCCUGGGAAGUACGGCCGCAAGGUUAAA
This 376-nucleotide ribosomal RNA is filed under the name uncultured bacterium. Its description in RNAcentral is "bacterial SSU rRNA". It matches the Rfam family "Bacterial small subunit ribosomal RNA", at positions 524 to 898 of the family's 1533-position model. The record is from RNAcentral.